This 328-nucleotide long non-coding RNA is filed under the name Mytilus galloprovincialis (Mediterranean mussel). Lineage: Eukaryota; Metazoa; Mollusca; Bivalvia; Mytilida; Mytilidae. The record is from RNAcentral.
UUUUUAUAAGAGUCUAUGGAAACUCUCUUUUAAACUCUGUUUGAUCUCGUAAUAGCGUAAACGUCACUUAAAUCGGGAAACAUUAUCAUUACUAAAGUUAAAGCUCAUUACAGAUGAAAACAAAAGUUGUAGUUGUGAUUUUGGUUGUAUUUGAUACCCUAUAGUUGAGAACUGUAAAACAAAACUACCACAAAUUUGACUGCAGUUAACAACAGGAAAUUAAAAGAGCCCAAUUGUUUUAAUAUUUGAAAUUUAAAUAAAGACCCGCAUAUUGUCUCAUAAGGACAGCAUUUGUAUAUAUAAAUCAACAUGCAGACAUCUUAUACGU